Molecule: non-coding RNA, 73 nt
Organism: Ciona savignyi (Pacific transparent sea squirt)
Lineage: Eukaryota; Metazoa; Chordata; Ascidiacea; Phlebobranchia; Cionidae
Source: Rfam
GCCCGGUUAGCUCAGCCGGUAGAGCGUUGGACUUUUAAUCCAACGGUCAAAGGUUCAAGUCCCUCAUCGGGCU